RNAcentral lists this RNase P RNA (360 nucleotides) under Leptothrix ochracea L12. Its description in RNAcentral is "Bacterial RNase P class A". It matches the Rfam family "Bacterial RNase P class A". From Rfam's summary of the family: Ribonuclease P (RNase P) is a ubiquitous endoribonuclease, found in archaea, bacteria and eukarya as well as chloroplasts and mitochondria. Its best characterised activity is the generation of mature 5'-ends of tRNAs by cleaving the 5'-leader elements of precursor-tRNAs. Lineage: Bacteria; Pseudomonadati; Pseudomonadota; Betaproteobacteria; Burkholderiales; Sphaerotilaceae. The record is from Rfam by way of RNAcentral.
GAAGCGCGACAGACUGCCGCUGGUGCAAGGAUCGAAAGGUCGCACUGGAGGAAGGUCCGGACUGCAAAGAGCGGCGUAGGAGGUAACGCCUCUCCACCGUGAGGUGAGGAUCAGAGCCACAGAGACGAGCCGGUUAAGUCCGGGUGAAACGCGGCAAUCUCUACGUGCAGCAACACCAAAUAGGCCAGCGCCAAGUGCGUGGCGUUAACUAACGCACGAACUUGAUGCGUUGCUCGCGCAAGCUGGCGGGUAGGUGGCACCGAGCCGGGUAGGCGACUCCCGGCCCAGAUGAAUGGCAGUUACUUUGUCUCCUUGACUGGAGGCGAUGCACAGAAUCCGGCCUAUCGUUGCGCUUCACAC